GACGAACCGUCCAAACGUUAUUCGGAAUCACUGGGCUUAAAGGGUGCGUAGGCGGCGCGGAAAGUAGGGUGUGAAAUCCCUCGGCUUAACCGAGGAACUGCGCUCUAAACUGCCGUGCUCGAGGGAGAUAGAGGUGAGCGGAACUUAGGGUGGAGCGGUGAAAUGCGUUGAUAUCCUGAGGAACACCGGUGGCGAAAGCGGCUCACUGGAUCUCUUCUGACGCUGAGGCACGAAAGCUAGGGUAGCGAACGGG
This 253-nucleotide ribosomal RNA is filed under the name uncultured bacterium. RNAcentral describes it as "partial 16S ribosomal RNA". It matches the Rfam family "Bacterial small subunit ribosomal RNA", at positions 524 to 776 of the family's 1533-position model. The record is from RNAcentral.